RNAcentral lists this ribosomal RNA (497 nucleotides) under uncultured bacterium. RNAcentral's name for it is "partial 16S ribosomal RNA". It matches the Rfam family "Bacterial small subunit ribosomal RNA", at positions 28 to 507 of the family's 1533-position model. The record is from RNAcentral.
GAUGAGCGCUGGCGGCGUGCCUAAUACAUGCAAGUCGAGCGAGCAGAUGAGGAGCUUGCUCCUCUGACGUUAGCGGCGGACGGGUGAGUAACACGUGGAUAACCUACCUAUAAGACUGGGAUAACUUCGGGAAACCGGAGCUAAUACCGGAUAAUAUAUUGAACCGCAUGGUUCAAUAGUGAAAGACGGUUUUGCUGUCACUUAUAGAUGGAUCCGCGCCGCAUUAGCUAGUUGGUAAGGUAACGGCUUACCAAGGCAACGAUGCGUAGCCGACCUGAGAGGGUGAUCGGCCACACUGGAACUGAGACACGGUCCAGACUCCUACGGGAGGCAGCAGUAGGGAAUCUUCCGCAAUGGGCGAAAGCCUGACGGAGCAACGCCGCGUGAGUGAUGAAGGUCUUCGGAUCGUAAAACUCUGUUAUUAGGGAAGAACAAAUGUGUAAGUAACUAUGCACGUCUUGACGGUACCUAAUCAGAAAGCCACGGCUAACUACGUG